Non-coding RNA from Pelobates cultripes (western spadefoot toad), 205 nucleotides. Lineage: Eukaryota; Metazoa; Chordata; Amphibia; Anura; Pelobatidae. The record is from the annotation of a GenBank genome assembly.
GUUUGGACGAUCAGAAGUCAUUGGUGAAGACAAGUGGUGUUUCUUAUUUAGCUCAAUUGUCAGUAGUUAUUGUAGGUAUAAACUUUGCUUUAGCAAAGGGAGCAACAGGUAUUUUGAGAUAUUUUAUGGCACUCAAAUGGAAAUCAUGCAAAUAAAACUGAAGUUGGCCAAUGAAGAUAACGCCAUUGCUGAAGUAAGGUCUCCC